This 1172-nucleotide long non-coding RNA is filed under the name Mustela putorius furo (domestic ferret). RNAcentral describes it as "lncRNA (ENSMPUG00000025015.1)". Lineage: Eukaryota; Metazoa; Chordata; Mammalia; Carnivora; Mustelidae. The record is from RNAcentral.
CUGCUAUCCAAGCUGCACAGGGAAUCGUGGCAGGAAGUCAGGAGUCUGGGCCCGGCCAGGAAGAUCUUUUUAUGGCUCUGGAGAGCAUUCUCAUCCUUACCAAGGAGGUGGCCCAGAGGGUCCCAGUACUCCAAGAACUCCCAGAAGAGUGGAGAAUGCACACCCUGGACUGGCUUCAGUGGGAGUGGGCAGCCAAGGCCCAUUGUGCUGUAGCCCAGCUCCAGGCCUGGAAGGGUGGUCACACGGAGGCCUGGAGCCUCCUGGCCCAGUGCCUGAAACCCAUUGAGGAGACAACAGUGAUGAAACCCAGGGAUGAACAGGACGCUGCCCAGCCCCAGCUCCGCUGUGAUGAGGGUGCAUCAGGAGCUGUUGCAGUGGGUAGUGUGGAUUCUCAGGGUGCUGCCCCCCAAAAUACCCCAGGGAUAUCAGCAGGGACCUGGGCUGCCGAUCCAGCCAUCCCUGGGACAAUCACGGCAGAGCCGGAAAAGGAGCAGCCCGGCAGCCCCACAUCCAGCUCCCUGAGUGCCCUGGCCUGGCUGAACCCUGAGCUGGACCAGCCCCUCCUGGAGGAUGGCGGCGCAGACGGGGGGAGCAGAAUCAUCCAGAUUACCCGCGAGAUGGCCGCAGAGGUCCUCCUGAUGGCUGAGAGUCUGAGGAGGAGAGGACCCAUCUUGGUACUUGGCCUUUUGCCGAGGUGGAGGAGCUGGGCACCAUGGGGGCAGUGCACCCCCAAUGUCUGAUGUGGGAGCUGGGACAGACCAGGCCCGGGCAGCUCCCAGAAGAGAAGGGCCAGGCUCUGGGCUGAUGGGCACAUAGUGCUCUACCGUGCUCCCUUCUUUCUCUAUCUGGGUGUGUCCUAGAGUUCACUGCUCUCUGCCCCUCAUCUUUUGGGCUCAAUCCUGAAGUCUAGGUUUUACUGCACCAGGAAAAGAUCAUUUGUCAGAAACUGCAACUCACUAAAAUCAAGGACUCGUUCGUAUCCCCAAAGGAUGAACUGAAGGGGGCUAUUGACAUCUUUAAAAAAUUCCCCCAGAUAGGGGCGACUGAGUGGCUCAGUGGGUUAAAGCCUCUGCUUUCAGCUCAGGUCAUGAUCCCAGGGUCCUGGGAAUGAACCCCGCGUUGGGCUUCCUGCUCAGCGGAGAGCCUGCUUCUCCCUCUCCCUCUGCUGCUCC